This 538-nucleotide ribosomal RNA is filed under the name uncultured bacterium. RNAcentral's name for it is "bacterial SSU rRNA". It matches the Rfam family "Bacterial small subunit ribosomal RNA", at positions 1 to 525 of the family's 1533-position model. The record is from RNAcentral.
GGCCGACAGAGUUUGAUCCUGGCUCAGGACGAACGCUGGCGGCGUGCCUAACACAUGCAAGUCGAGCGGAAAGGCCUCCUUCGGGAAGUACUCGAGCGGCGAACGGGUGAGUAACACGUGGAUAAUCAACCUCUUGCUCUGGAAUACCCCGGGGAAACUCGGAUCAAUGCCAGAUAAAGUGCGGUGCUGUCGGGCGCCGUACCAAAGAUAGCUUCGGCCUUCGGCGAGAGACGAGUCCGCGGCCCAUUAGCUAGUUGGCGGGGUAAUGGCCCACCAAGGCUACGAUGGGUAGCUGGUCUGAGAGGAUGAUCAGCCACACUGGGACUGAGACACGGCCCAGACUCCUACGGGAGGCAGCAGUGGGGAAUCUUGCGCAAUGGGCGAAAGCCUGACGCAGCAACGCCGCGUGCGGGAAGACGGCCUUCGGGUUGUAAACCGCUUUCAGGGGAGACGAAGCUUCCAAGGUUAAUAGCUUUGCGGAGUGACGGUAUCUUCAGAAGAAGUCCCGGCUAACUACGUGCCAGCAGCCGCGGUAAUA